AACGCACAUUGCACCUUCUGGUAUUCCAGGAGGUAUGUCUGUUCGAGCGUCAUUACAACCCUCAAGCUCUAGCUUGGUAUUGGAUGUCACUAAUCUGGUGCAUCUCAAAAGCAGUGGCGGUGCCAUUCAGCUUCAAGCGCAGUAAAUCUCUCGCUGUGGAGUCUGGGUGCAGUGCCUGCCAGAACCCCUAAAUUCAAAGGUUGACCUCGGAUCAGAUAGGGAUACCCGCUGAACUUAA
Molecule: unclassified non-coding RNA, 238 nt
Filed under: uncultured fungus
Lineage: Eukaryota; Fungi
Description: partial contains 5.8S ribosomal RNA, internal transcribed spacer 2, and large subunit ribosomal RNA
Source: RNAcentral